This 83-nucleotide small nucleolar RNA is filed under the name Wallemia mellicola CBS 633.66. RNAcentral describes it as "Small nucleolar RNA snR56". It matches the Rfam family "Small nucleolar RNA snR56". Lineage: Eukaryota; Fungi; Basidiomycota; Wallemiomycetes; Wallemiales; Wallemiaceae. The record is from Rfam by way of RNAcentral. RNAcentral also lists the same sequence under 1 other name.
UACGAGGAUGAAAAACAUACACAGACCUGUACGCAAUCGUCCUAGACGUUGUCGACAACCGUAAUUGCCUUUUUUAUCUGACA